UGGCGAACGGGUGAGUAACACGUGGGUGAUCUGCCCUGCACUUCGGGAUAAGCCUGGGAAACUGGGUCUAAUACCGGAUAGGACGAUGGUUUGGAUGCCAUUGUGAAAAGUUUUUCGGUGUGGGAUGAGCUCGCGGCCUAUCAGCUUGUUGGUGGGGUAAUGGCCUACCAAGGCGUCGACGGGUAGCCGGCCUGAGAGGGUGUACGGCCACAUUGGGACUGAGAUACGGCCCAG
This 234-nucleotide ribosomal RNA is filed under the name uncultured Actinomycetales bacterium. RNAcentral's name for it is "partial 16S ribosomal RNA". It matches the Rfam family "Bacterial small subunit ribosomal RNA", at positions 96 to 334 of the family's 1533-position model. Lineage: Bacteria; Bacillati; Actinomycetota; Actinomycetes; Actinomycetales. The record is from RNAcentral.